AACAUCCUGCCUGAUGCGCGGACCAGUGUAUAAAUAACCCUACAAUUAUUAAUAGGGAGCUUUGGCUCCGGCGGCGGACUUCAGACCUCCCGGCUUUUGCCGGACGAAGGGAGUGCGAAACCGUUGGGCGGGCACCCACCUGCUUAUGGUAGCAGGUUAUUCAGCACUUUACGGUCAGGCGGGCUUUUA
This 189-nucleotide non-coding RNA is filed under the name Oscillospiraceae bacterium. Its description in RNAcentral is "6S RNA". It matches the Rfam family "6S / SsrS RNA". From Rfam's summary of the family: E. coli 6S RNA was the first non coding RNA to be sequenced, but its function was unknown until recently. It consists of 184 nucleotides that fold into an extended hairpin structure with a large single-stranded internal bulge. The 6S RNA specifically associates with RNA polymerase holoenzyme containing the sigma70 specificity factor. Lineage: Bacteria; Bacillati; Bacillota; Clostridia; Eubacteriales; Oscillospiraceae. The record is from RNAcentral.